This 460-nucleotide ribosomal RNA is filed under the name uncultured bacterium. RNAcentral's name for it is "partial 16S ribosomal RNA". It matches the Rfam family "Bacterial small subunit ribosomal RNA", at positions 338 to 795 of the family's 1533-position model. The record is from RNAcentral.
CCUACGGGAGGCAGCAGUGAGGCAUAUUGGUCAAUGGACGAGAGUCUGAACCAGCCAAGUAGCGUGAAGGAUGACUGCCCUAUGGGUUGUAAACUUCUUUUAUAUGGGAAUAAAAUGUUCCACGUGUGGGAUUUUGUAUGUACCAUAUGAAUAAGGAUCGGCUAACUCCGUGCCAGCAGCCGCGGUAAUACGGAGGAUCCGAGCGUUAUCCGGAUUUAUUGGGUUUAAAGGGAGCGUAGGUGGAUUGUUAAGUCAGUUGUGAAAGUUUGCGGGUCAACCGUAAAAUUGCAGUUGAAACUGGCAGUCUUGAGUACAGUAGAGGUGGGCGGAAUUCGUGGUGUAGCGGUGAAAUGCUUAGAUAUCACGAAGAACUCCGAUUGCGAAGGCAGUUCACUGGACUGCAACUGACACUGAGGCUCGAAAGUGUGGGUAUCAAACAGGAUUAGAUACCCUUGUAGUC